CUUCUUUGAUGAUGUCAAGUCAUGACUUUCGUUCUUCUGAGUAUUCUGAAGCCACCAAGCUUAUCUGAGAAAG
Molecule: small nucleolar RNA, 73 nt
Organism: Spea bombifrons (plains spadefoot toad)
Lineage: Eukaryota; Metazoa; Chordata; Amphibia; Anura; Pelobatidae
Product: small nucleolar RNA SNORD59
Exons: 1
Source: RefSeq, a predicted model, not a curated record